Non-coding RNA from Kogia breviceps (pygmy sperm whale), 4684 nucleotides. The record is from RefSeq and is a predicted model, not a curated record. Lineage: Eukaryota; Metazoa; Chordata; Mammalia; Artiodactyla; Physeteridae.
GAUUGAUUUCUAAUCUCAUAGUGCUUUGGUCGGGAAAGUUGCUUGAUAUGAUUUCAGUUUUCUGAAAUUUACUCAGGGCUUGCUGUGUGGCCCAGAAUGUGAUCUAUCCUGGAGAAUGUUCCAUGUGCACUUGAGAAGAAGGUGUAUUCUGCUGCUUUUGGAUGGAAUGUUCUGUAAAUAUCAGUUAAUCCCCUUGGUCUAAUAUGUCAUUUAAGGCCUGUGUUUCCUUAUUGAUUUUCUAUCUGGAUGAUCUGUCCAUUGAUGUAAGUGGGGUGUUAAAGUCCCCCAGUUUUAUUGUGUUACUGUUGAUUUCUCCUUUUAUGGCUGUUAGCAUUUGCCUUAUAUAUUGGGGUGCUUCUAUGUUGGGCGCAUAUAUAUUUACAAGUGUUAGAUCUUCUUCUUGGAUUGAUCCCUUUAUCAUUAUGCAGUGUCCUUCUUUGUCUCUUAUAAGUCUUCAUUUUAAAGUCUAUUUUGUCUGAUAUGAGUAUUGCUACUCCAGCUUUCUUGUGAUUUCCAUUUGUGUGGAAUACCUUUAUCCAUCCCCUCACUUUCAGUCUGUAUAUGUCCUUAGAUCUAAAGUGGGUCUCUUGUGGACAGCAUAUAUACGGGUCUUGUUUUCAUGUCCAUUCAGCCAGCCUGUAUCUUUUGGUUGGAGCAUUUAAUCCAUUUUCCUUUAAAGUAAUUAUCAUAUGUAUGUUCUUAUUGCCAUUUUGUUAAUUGUUUUGGAUUUGUUUUUGUAGGUCUUUUUUCUUCCCUUCCUCUUUUUUUCCCUUGUGAUUUGAUGACUAUCUUUUGUGUUGUGUUUGGAUUGCUUUUUCUUUUUUGUAUGUGUAUCUAUUGUAGGUUUUUGGUUUGCUGUUCCCAUGAGGUUUUGAUAUAGUAGUCUGUAUAUAAACAAGAUUGUUUUAAGUUGCUGGUCUCUUAAUAUCAAAUGCAUUUCCAGUACCCUGCAUUUGUACUCUCCUCAGGAUUGCUGGUUUUGAUAAAUUUGUGUGUGAAUGAUUUCCUACGUUUACUGUAUGUUUGCCUUUACUGGUGAGCUUUCCCAUUUGUAAUUUUCUUGUUUCUAGUUGUGUCCUUUUCUUUUCUGCCUAGAGAAGUUCCUUUAGCAUUUGUUGUAGAGCUGGUUUGGUGGUGCUGAAUUCCCUUAGUUUUUGAUUGUCUGUAAAGCUUUUCAUUUCUCUGUCAAAUCUGAACAAGAGCCUUGCUGGGUAGAGUAGUUUUGGUUGUAGGUUUUUCCCUUGUAUCACUUAAAUAUAUAGUGCUACUCCCUUCUGGCCUGCAGAGUUUCUGUGGAAAAAAACAGCUGAUAACCUUAUGGGGUUUCCCUUGUUUCUUAUUUGUUGCUUUUUAGUUUUACUACUAUAUGUGUCUCGACGUGUUCCUCCUUGGGUUUAUCGUGUAUGGGACUCUGCACUUCGUGGACUUGAGUUUGUGUUCCCUUUCCCAUGUUAGGGAAGUUUUUAGUUAUAAUCUCUUCAAAUAUUUUCUCAGGUCCUUUCUCUCUCUCUUCUCUUCUGGGACCCCUGUAAUGGGAAUGUUGGUGUGUUUAAUGUUGUCCCAGAAGUCUCUUAGACUGUCCUCAUUUCUUUUCAUUCUUCUUUCUUUAUUCUGUUCUGUGGCAGUGAUUCCCACCACUCUUUCAGCUCAUUUAUUUGUUCUUCUAUCUCAUUUAUUCUGCUAUUGAUUCAUUCUAGUGUAUUUUUCAUUUCAAUUAUUGUAUUGUUCAUCUCUUCUUUAAAUCUUCUAGCUCUUUGUUAAACAUUUCUUGUAUCUUCUUGGUCUGUGCCUCCAUUCUUUUUCCAAGAUCUUGGGUCAUCUUUACUAUCAUUACCUUGAAUUGUUUUUCAAAUAGAUUGCCUAUCUCUAAUUCACUUAGUUGUUCUUCCGGGGUUUUAUCUUGUUCGUUUGUCUGGAAUAUGUUUUUCUGCCAUUUCAUUUUGUCUAACUUUCUGUUUUUGGUCUCCUUUCCUCAGGCUGUAGGAUUGUAGUUCCUCUUGCUUCUGGUGUCUGCCCCCAGUGGGUGAGAUUGAUUUAGGGGCUUGUGCAGGCUUCCUGGUAGGAGGGACUGGUGCCUGCCUACUGGUGCAUGGAGGUGGAUCUUGUCCCUCUGGUGGGCAGAAGUGUGUCAAGGAGUGUGUUUAGAGGUGGCUGUGAGCUCAGUACAACUUUAGGCUGCCUGUCUGCUGAUGGGUGGGGCUAUGUCUUCCCCCACCCCCCACCAUGACUGCUGGUUGUUUGACCUGAGGCCUCCCAGCACUGGAGCCUGCAGGCUGUAGGGUGGGGCCACUUCAUGAUGCCAAAAUGGCGACCUCUGGGAGAGCUCACGCCAAUCAAUAUUCCCUGGGUCCUUCACCACAGGUGUCCUUGCACAGAGAGAGCCACAAUCAACCCCCACCUCUUCAGGAGACCCUCCAAUACCAGCAGGUAGGUCUAGUCCAGGCUCCUAUGAAGUCACUGCUUUGUGCUGGGUCCCAGUGCACAUGAAAACUUGUGUGCACCCUCCAAGAGUGGAGUCUCUGUUUCCCUCAGUCCUGUGGAGCACCUGCACUCAAGGCCCACUGGCCUUCAAAGCUAAAUGCUCUGGGGACUCCUCCUCCUGAUGCCGGACCCUCAGGCUGGGGAGCCUGACAUGGGGCUCAGAACUCUCACUCCUGUGGGAGAACCUCUGUGAUAUAAUUAUUUUCCAGUUUGUGGGUUACCUACCCAGUGGAUAUGGGGUUUGAUUAUAUGGGGUGUGUGGGUGAGGUGACCCGUGUGUGCUCCCAGUAGGGCGGAGGCAGCAAUCAGCCCCUGCUCAUGGGUCUUCCAGUGGCAGCAGCGGCCCCCAUGCCCCCGGGAUAGUGGGGGCAGCAAUUGGCACCUGCUCUUGUGUUUCUUAGUGGUGGUGGCAGCCCAUGCACUCCCGGGACAGCAGAGGCAGUGACUGGCACCUGCUUCCAUGUCUCCUGUUCUUUGUUUUCUUGUGCAAAAUUGUCUUGGCUAUUCCUGGACUGUUACUGUUCUAGAUGAAAUUUUAAUAUCAUUGUCAGGUUCCACAAAAACUGUUGCUUUCUGCCUUCAUUUCUUGAGUGAAGUUUAGCUUUUAAAGCUUAAUAUUACUAUUGUAGAAUCACUAGCUUCUUAUAAGCGUAAUUUCUGUCUUUUCCAGCAUAGAUGUUCUUCUCUUCUUCAGUAGCUUCACACUUGGAAGUGUUCCAACAGAAUGAGAACCUGACUAUCCUAAGUGGCUGAUAAAGGCGUUAUUGCAGUUACAGGAAUGCUGAUUGUUCCAUAACAUAUGUAACUAAUCUGGGUACAUUUUGUAGACUGGUGAUAAAACACAUCACAUCUUAAAUCUCUGAAUGAUGUACUUACGUGUGUAUAUGUAUUUAUAUGUGUGUACACACCUUCAAAUAAAAAACAGAAACAAAACCAUCUUGGGCCUUUGAUUUGAAGCACUCUGCACUUCCCAGGUGAUUCUGCUUCUGCUUUCCUGAGCCAACUACUAAGGGAACCUCAAUGUGAUGAUGAAUAGACUUGUCUCAAAAAGGAGGAUGAAGGGGAGCAAAAUAUGCCAUCCCAAAAUAUGCCUCUUUGGCAUAAGGAUUAUUUUGAGUGGAUUAUUUUUAAGAAACAGAAGAAAAGCUCUAAAAAUCUAGUAGAAGUUACUCAUUUGUAGGAGACAUUUACAUUUAUAAGAAAUUUUUAUUUGUAAGUGUGUCUUCUAAUCUGUGCCAGGAAGAGAAGGAUGACUCUAAAUCACAAGAAAUUCUUAUCAGUGGAGAAGAUACCCAACUUAAAUCUACAUAACAACCUUACUCUCUGUUUACUGUGUUUUUCCUAGUAACUUCCUAUAACUGGCCUUCUCCACCUCCCAACAUUUUUCUUGUGUCUUUAGCUGAAAAAGUAAUUUAAGAUGAUGGCUUGGGCUAUUUGGGGGAGUUAGUUUUCCAGGGUCUCCCCCAUGUAUACAGGAUGUAUACAUGUUAUUUGUUUUCUAUUUGUUUUUCUCCUGUUAAUCUGUCUUUUAUUACAGGGGUGGGGUCUCAGCCAACAACCUAGAGUGGUAGAGGGAAAAUUUUUUUUCCUCACUGACAGUUUGGUGACCCAUGAUGGGAUCUGCUGAAACACUGUACUUCUUCUGGAGCCUGAAGAUAGGAACCUGGAAAACUGGCAGAAGCCAGCAAAGGUUAUUUCCCAAAGCCCUGCAAACUGAAUGUGAAUGGACUGACAUAAAGUUCAGAGAAAUGACCCCAGCAGCUCACGUUUAGAUCAUCUUUGUGCCUGUUGCUGUGUGGACCACUCAGGAAGUUUAUCUGAACAUCGAUGACAUCAGACAAAUUCAAGUUGCAGAAGAUGCUUCAACCCCAACAUCUAGAAAUCUGACUGGCGGCCUUCGGGACUCAGGCUGAGUUUAUAAUUUGACCCAACCACUAACUUUCGUUUUUCUCGUUUCCAUAGACAUGACUCUUAUUAAAUACCCAAUUGCUCGCACCGUGUAAGGUUAACUUCAGGACUCCACCUGCAACACCAGCUCCUGAACUGAGACACAACUGUUUAACUAAGCUGACCUAUCCUCGAGAUUAAGAGUACACGGGCCUCUCACUGCUGUGGCCUCUCCCCUCUCCCGUUGCGGAGCACAGGCUCCGGACGCACAGGCUCAGCGGCCAUGGCUCAUGGGCCUAGCCGCUCCGCGGCAUGU